GCCUUCCGGAUGUGCUCAAUUCCAUUCAAUACACAGUAGGGUGGUGGUUUCUACCAGUGUCAAUUCAUUGAUCCUCCACGUG
Molecule: long non-coding RNA, 82 nt
Organism: Limulus polyphemus (Atlantic horseshoe crab)
Lineage: Eukaryota; Metazoa; Arthropoda; Merostomata; Xiphosura; Limulidae
Exons: 3
Source: RefSeq, a predicted model, not a curated record